RNAcentral lists this ribosomal RNA (253 nucleotides) under uncultured bacterium. RNAcentral's name for it is "partial 16S ribosomal RNA". It matches the Rfam family "Bacterial small subunit ribosomal RNA", at positions 524 to 776 of the family's 1533-position model. The record is from RNAcentral.
UACGAAGGGGGCUAGCGUUGCUCGGAAUCACUGGGCGUAAAGGGCGCGUAGGCGGCCGAUCAAGUCGGGGGUGAAAGCCUGUGGCUCAACCACAGAAUUGCCUUCGAUACUGUUUGGCUUGAGACCGGAAGAGGUUAGUGGAACUGCGAGUGUAGAGGUGAAAUUCGUAGAUAUUCGCAAGAACACCAGUGGCGAAGGCGGCGACCUGGACGGACAUUGACGCUGAGACGCGAAAGCGUGGGGAGCAAACAGG